Long non-coding RNA from Siniperca chuatsi (mandarin fish), 645 nucleotides. RefSeq lists it as uncharacterized. The record is from RefSeq and is a predicted model, not a curated record. The transcript has 2 exons. NCBI's taxonomy places the organism in Eukaryota, Metazoa, Chordata, Actinopteri, Centrarchiformes, Sinipercidae.
UUCUGGCAGUUCGAGGAUUGAUUCUCACAUCUCCUGUAUGUGAGAUAAUAGCAUCACGCAAUUGUCACUUUCCAUUUGUAAUUUAUUAUUCUUAUUUCCUGUGUCACUUCAGGGCCCCCAUAGUUAAGCAGUGUUGCAUUGAGGGUCAGGACAUUCCUAACAACUUAAAGCAGGAAUACACAGCAGCAAUAAAGUUGUUUAGGUACUGAAAAUAAGCAAAUCAGGUCAAUAUAUUAAUGCUGCAGCCAUAAGUACAUUUUGACAAGACCUCUAUGCUAGGUACUCUUGUUACGGUCAAUAUCCUGGCAGCAGCAACAGUUAUAAGUUGAAUUGAUGCAACUGGUAUCUGGUUUAAACUACAGCACGUUAAAAGCCAUAAAUGUGCAACAAUAUAGGGAUUUGAAAGAAACUAGGCCUAAUCAUUUAACCUAUACACUAAUAUCUGGAAAAAUAAGGAAACAAAGAUCAGUUAGAGAUUUUAUUUAAAUCAGAGACAGAUAAAAAUGGGUACAUGCAGAAACAUCUUCAAUGCAAAAUUAACACUUGCAUGGUUCCUCAAACCUAGUCCCAUACUUCAGUUGCCUCUUAAUGUGAUCAGUUCAGAAGGUCUAGGAUAAGGCUGCAGCAGUCACGUUGUCGCUGGCC